Coccinella septempunctata (seven-spotted ladybird) is the source of this 999-nucleotide long non-coding RNA. RefSeq lists it as uncharacterized. The record is from RefSeq and is a predicted model, not a curated record. Lineage: Eukaryota; Metazoa; Arthropoda; Insecta; Coleoptera; Coccinellidae. The transcript is spliced from 4 exons.
CUUGGCCAUCAAAAUAUAAAAGGCGCCAUCAAAAAUAUUCAUAAAGUUGAUUGUGAAUUGUGUUUAUUUUUUGAAAAACUUAAAGGACAUAUAUGCACUGUUUGGCCCCCGUGUACCUGAACGACCCCACACGUGGGGCACACCUUAGGUAAACACCGUGUAUACGAAUCCGGUAGCUGGAUCCAUUCUUCUCGAAUGUUCCUGUCAUUCAGUCAUUUAGAGGACUGGGCGUGACAGAUGCGAUAAUUGUUACGUGGAAAGUGAAAGGAUUGCUGGAGUAGAAAAUACUUUUUUCGUCGAUCUCAACAAGAAAUGACUCUGUAUAUCUAAUUUCCGAACGAAAAGACGACCAUUUUGAAGGGGCGUGGCCGGACCCCACUCCUGUUUCAUUGGCAUCAAGGCGGAGUAAUCGUAUCAUGAUAUCUUGGAUUGUUUAAGCCUGUAAUCCCUACCAGUCCAGUUGUUGGCCUAUUGGACAGGAAAAUGAACGGAGAAGUUCCCAAUCAGGAGAGGAACCGAGUGAAGCUAUGUGGGCUACAGGCUAUAGGCUGUAGCCUAUAUUUAGCUCGCCUGUUUCGAACUGAACAGAAUCUAAAGAGCGGCAAAUGCAAGUGGGGGAAUGUUAUGACCUCUGGAAUCCGUAUAAUGAAUUAAUUUAAGUACGUAAUAAAUGAGGCAAUUGGACGUUUUCCAAACCAUGAAACAUAGUUGGUUCUACUAGGAGGGGGGAAGGGAGAUUUAAUUGGUUAAUUAUCAUUCCAGAUCACCAUUCCCAUCUUUCAUAUUUGAAAAAGAACUAAAAUAAUAACAGAAGAAUAUAUAAUGAUGAAAUUGUUGUAAGCACAAUCGUGUUGUUUGUUGUUCAUUCAAUUAUUAUCCACCCCUCAGAAAUUCAGCGUUUAUUACCCCCCUACUAAUUCAGCCUUCAUUGCCCCUUCCAGAAAUUCAGCUUUUAAUACCCCCCCUCCCAAGAAGUUUCAGCUUUUAUUACCCCCCACU